GACAAACGCUGGCGGUGUGCUUAACACAUGCAAGUCGAACGGUAAGGCCCUUUCGGGGGUACACGAGUGGCGAACGGGUGAGUAACACGUGAGUAACCUGCCCUCAUCUCUGGGAUAACAGUCGGAAACGGUUGCUAAUACUGGAUAUGAGCUUGCAAGGCAUCUUGUGGGUUGGAAAGAUUUUUUUUGGUUGGGGAUGGACUCGCGGCCUAUCGGCUUGUUGGUGAGGUAGUGGCUCACCAAGGCUUCGACGGGUAGCCGGCCUGAGAGGGCGACCGGCCACAUUGGGACUGAGAUACGGCCCAAACUCCUACGGGAGGCAGCAGUGGGGAAUAUUGCACAAUGGACGGAAGUCUGAUGCAGCAACGCCGCGUGCGGGAUGACGGCCUUCGGGUUGUAAACCGCUUUCAAUUGUGACGAAGCUUUUUUGUGACGGUAGCAGUAGAAGAAGCACCGGCUAACUACGUG
This 468-nucleotide ribosomal RNA is filed under the name uncultured bacterium. RNAcentral describes it as "partial 16S ribosomal RNA". It matches the Rfam family "Bacterial small subunit ribosomal RNA", at positions 28 to 507 of the family's 1533-position model. The record is from RNAcentral.